CCUACGGGUGGCAGCAGUGGGGAAUAGUGGGCAAUGGAGGCAACUCUGACCCAGCAACGCCGCGUGAAUGAUGAAGGUCUUCGGAUUGUAAAGUUCUGUGAUGGGGGAGGAACACAAUGACGGUACCCCAAUAGCAAGCCACGGCUAACUACGUGCCAGCAGCCGCGGUAAUACGUAGUGGGCAAGCUUUAUCCGGAAUGACGGGGCGUAAAGGGUGCGGAGGGGGUUUAGUCAGGUGGCGGGGUAAUUCCGGGGCUCCACCUCGGCGCUCCCGCCCAAACUAUUAGCCUAGAGUGCAGGUGGGGUAAGUGGACUUCCUCUUGUAGCUGUGUACUGCGUAGAUAUUAGGAG
This 351-nucleotide ribosomal RNA is filed under the name uncultured bacterium. RNAcentral's name for it is "partial 16S ribosomal RNA". It matches the Rfam family "Bacterial small subunit ribosomal RNA", at positions 338 to 703 of the family's 1533-position model. The record is from RNAcentral.